CUCGAAAAUUUCAUAUGCUCCGUGUUGCUCAAAACGCCUUUGGAGCUCCGGUUCUAAACUGUAAAGCAUGUCGCACUGAACGAGAGAGUAGUCAUCACUCCGCGACUGCCAAACGGUCAAGUCCCUCCGUCGAUGCCCGUCUUCUCUUCGAUUGGCAUGGUGAGUUUCAUUAUAAACUAGUAUUAAUAAUUUAGUGUCAUCAUGCUAACUGAGACAUUGCAAAAUAUCUAUUCUGCAGAAUAACUCCCGAGCGGCAUCGCACGACCCUUCUCCAGGUGUUUCUCCUCCUUGAUGACCACUACGGUAAGUUUCUCUUCUCCUCUUUCAUAUAAUGACAUAG
RNAcentral lists this long non-coding RNA (340 nucleotides) under Hordeum vulgare. RNAcentral describes it as "long non-coding RNA (HVUL_LNC012445)". Lineage: Eukaryota; Viridiplantae; Streptophyta; Magnoliopsida; Poales; Poaceae. The record is from RNAcentral.